This is a long non-coding RNA of Chinchilla lanigera (long-tailed chinchilla), 1909 nucleotides long. RefSeq lists it as uncharacterized. The record is from RefSeq and is a predicted model, not a curated record. NCBI's taxonomy places the organism in Eukaryota, Metazoa, Chordata, Mammalia, Rodentia, Chinchillidae. The transcript is spliced from 2 exons.
AGGAUGGUUUUGAAGACAGAACGAUCCUCCUGCUUCAGCCUCCCGAGUGCUGGGAUUACAGGCUUGAGCCACCACGUCCGGCCAAGCACAGUGUAAUUUUGAACAAGAGCUUCUGAGGCCAGUAGUCUCGCUGCAGACUUACUGUUUCUAACCUAUAUGGUGAUGUAGAUGAGGGAUCCAAUUCCUUCAAGUACAGGUUUUCAAAUUAAAAAGUAACCUUAGCAUGCUUCGUAACAUUCGUAUGUGCGUGUUUGGAAAGCAAAAUAUAUUUGAAUAUGCCCACUGACAGACACCCAUGUUAUGCUGAUCUUAACCAUUUUAAACACGUGCGAAUGGUACUUCUGCCUGGCACGUCAAAUACUUGCAGUUAGUAUUUGUGUGCGUGCGCAUGUAUAACCGACUUGCAGUGCUUCCCUGACAGCGUAACGUUCGCUGUCACGUUCACUGCAUUACAGGGCCGCUACACUCACUACACACUGCCUGCUAACUCACUGUACAAUGAAUCACAGUAUCCCUUCCAAAGCCAAUUCAUUUGUCCUAAUGGCAAAGAUUUUUCUUUUUUGGUACCGGAAAUCAAACUCGACCUCGUGCUUGCCACGCGGGCGCGAUGCCACUGAGCUAUACUCCCGGCUGUAGCUAAGAUUUUUAAACAGCUAUGAAACAGUUGUUUGGCCCUAAGUAUAGAGAUUUGCUAGAGUAAUAAAAUUUCCAACUACUUUUAGUCAGGCCAUGAUACUACUUUAUCAGAUUAUUUCCACAGAUGUUUUUGAGUGCUAACACGAGUCUACGCAGAACCCAUACAUAACGUGCUGCCCAUGAUGAGCUCAUUUCCCUGUAUCUGUAAUACCCACAAUCUAAGUGUCCUUCAGAGGUGACCACUGCCAGCUAAUCCUUUAACUUCACCUCAGCAGGAGAAUUGCAACAGCUUUGUAGCUUUUCUUAUUUGAUUUCCCAUACUCUGUCUGGCUUACAACUGCAAGUUCAUCUCCCUUUCAGAACUUAUUAAAAAUAAGCUUUAAUUUAUUCUGCUUGGCUUUUAAGGAAUCUCAUGAUCAGACCUCAAUCCCUCACAGCCAUUGAUGGUUUCACGUAGCUCCAAGACGCACUCUUUCCUCAUCUUGCAGUGAUAGCGCUACUGAAAACGGAAACAUAAUCCAUGCAAGUUAACCAUUAGCUUGUUACCUUCAGAAUGGACGAAAGAGAAAAGGAUCUUCGUCAUCCAACUGUUGGCACAGGUCUAUUGUCCAACCACCCACGACACAUACAUACCACAAGCGACAAAAAGUGGUCAUGCCAAGCGUAAAUCUCUUCGACUUUUCUCAAGUGUACCAAGGACACAACUGCUCCUGCUCAAGGACUAGUUAUGGACUCCGAUGUGCAGAAAUAACACACCUUUGAAAUCUUCCUUUUCAAUCUCCCAGCACUUACUAAUUUCACAGAACACAGUUCUACUUAGUGAAGAACUCAACUCAUACUAACAAACCAUGGGGAAUGUGUUAACUUUUCUAGAAGAGGCAUAUUUUAGAAAACAACCUAGAAGAAUGCUUGAUUCAAGGGCAUAUAUUGCCAGUAGCGGCUCCUGGAGAAUGUGGAAGAUAUUCUGGGAAGAAAGCCUGUUAGUUUUUGAACCCUGGGGAGAGCCUACUUACUUAGCGAGACACCUUUGAUUACUGUAUAACACAUUCACCACACCCAUGUUUUGAAGUAUAAGGCAUGAUCCUGGUACUAAAAACAAAUACAGUAUUAGUUCAAAAUCUAUAAUGUAUAUUGUAUAUCCUUGACUCAUACUUGACCUUCAUUGGAAAAAUAAUCAUUCUAAUUGCAAUUAAUCCCUUAUUUCUCAUGAAGAGACAUAUUAUUACUUCAUGUAUAUUCAUGGCAAUACUUUAAACAUGUUAUUGAGAUGGUA